RNAcentral lists this ribosomal RNA (492 nucleotides) under uncultured bacterium. Its description in RNAcentral is "partial 16S ribosomal RNA". It matches the Rfam family "Bacterial small subunit ribosomal RNA", at positions 29 to 507 of the family's 1533-position model. The record is from RNAcentral.
AGUGAACGCUGGCGGUAGGCCUAACACAUGCAAGUCGAACGGCAGCACAGUAAGAGCUUGCUCUUACGGGUGGCGAGUGGUGGACGGGUGAGGAAUACAUCGGAAUCUACUUUUUCGUGGGGGAUAACGUAGGGAAACUUACGCUAAUACCGCAUACGACCUACGGGUGAAGGCAGGGGAUCUUCGGACCUUGCGCGAUUGAAUGAGCCGAUGUCGGAUUAGCUAGUUGGCGGGGUAAAGGCCCACCAAGGCGACGAUCCGUAGCUGGUCUGAGAGGAUGAUCAGCCACACUGGAACUGAGACACGGUCCAGACUCCUACGGGAGGCAGCAGUGGGGAAUAUUGGACAAUGGGCGCAAGCCUGAUCCAGCCAUACCGCGUGGGUGAAGAAGGCCUUCGGGUUGUAAAGCCCUUUUGUUGGGAAAGAAAAGCAGCAGGUUAAUACCCCGCUGUUCUGACGGUACCCAAAGAAUAAGCACCGGCUAACUUCGUG